GAGUUUGAUCAUGGCUCAGGACGAACGCUGGCGGCGUGCCUAACACAUGCAAGUCGAACGAGGCCGGACCUUCGGGUCCAAUGGUCGAGUGGCGAACGGGUGAGUAACACGUGAGAAACCUGCCCCGGAGACCGGGACAACCAGAGGAAACUCUGGCUAAUACCGGAUGUCCUCAGAUGGUCGCAUGGCCGACUGAGGAAAGGCUCUGGCGCUCUGGGAGGGUCUCGCGGCCUAUCAGCUGGUUGGUGGGGUAACGGCCUACCAAGGCAUCGACGGGUAGCUGGUCUGAGAGGACGAUCAGCCACACUGGGACUGAGACACGGCCCAGACUCCUACGGGAGGCAGCAGUGGGGAAUAUUGCGCAAUGGGCGAAAGCCUGACGCAGCAACGCCGCGUGGGGGAUGAAGGCUUUCGGGUUGUAAACCCCUUUCAGUGAUGACGAAAAUGACGGUAAUCACAGAAGAAGCCCCGGCCAACUACGUGCCAGCAGCCGCGGUAACACGUAGGGGGCGAGCGUUGUCCGGAUUUAUUGGGCGUAAAGAGCUCGUAGGCGGUUGCGUAAGUCGGACGUGAAAACUCAGGGCUCAACCCUGAGAUGCCGUUCGAUACUGCGCUGACUAGAGUCCGGUAGGGGAGCAUGGAAUUCCUG
This 649-nucleotide ribosomal RNA is filed under the name uncultured bacterium. RNAcentral describes it as "bacterial SSU rRNA". It matches the Rfam family "Bacterial small subunit ribosomal RNA", at positions 9 to 672 of the family's 1533-position model. The record is from RNAcentral.